RNAcentral lists this unclassified non-coding RNA (5683 nucleotides) under Mizuhopecten yessoensis (Yesso scallop). Its description in RNAcentral is "ras-related protein Rab-3-like, transcript variant X5". The record is from RNAcentral. Lineage: Eukaryota; Metazoa; Mollusca; Bivalvia; Pectinida; Pectinidae.
UACGCAGGCUUGUCUGUGGUUCCUGGUGGUGGUGCUACAAGGAAGCUGCUCCCGUUUUGUGGAGACUUUGGGUAGUGAUAAGCGGGCUGUAGUGGACCCGUAAGGUUUUCCUUCUCUCUAACACCUGUGUCAGCUCUCUCUCUGUAUCCUCAUCAUGGCUCUCCUACCACAGCCUGGCGACGCCACGAUGGCUUCGGCAAACGAUUCAAAAUGGCAGAAGGAUGCUGCAGACCAGAACUUUGACUAUAUGUUCAAACUACUCAUUAUUGGAAACAGUAGUGUGGGUAAAACGUCAUUCUUGUUUAGAUAUGCUGAUGACUCUUUCACAUCUGCGUUUGUUAGUACAGUGGGCAUAGAUUUCAAAGUAAAAACAGUGUUUCGGCAGGACAAAAGAGUAAAACUACAAAUCUGGGACACAGCUGGCCAGGAAAGAUACAGAACGAUAACAACAGCGUACUAUCGGGGUGCUAUGGGAUUUAUACUAAUGUACGAUGUCACAAACGAGGAAUCCUUUAACGCAGUACAUGACUGGUGUACUCAGAUCAAGACAUACUCAUGGGAUAAUGCACAGAUAGUUUUAGUGGGCAACAAGUGUGACCUUGAGGAUGAGAGGGUCGUUUCCACGGAGAGGGGCAAGCAGCUGGCCGACCAAAUAGGACUGGAGUUUUUCGAGACAUCAGCUAAAGAGAAUAUCAACGUGAAAGCUGUAUUUGAAAGAUUGGUAGAUAUCAUUUGCGACAAAAUGUCAGAAAGUUUGGAUUCUGACCCAUCCCUGAUCAACAGCCAGACAAAAGGAACGAGGCUGACAGAGAAUACCAACCCACAACAGGGAGGAUGUCAGUGUUAAGUGUCCGACAGGGGCAGAUAACUGAGGACACUGUGUGAUGUGUACGAUCUGUUUCUCACAUGAUAUGUUUACAAAAUAGGUGAUAGUGGUUAUUUCAUGUUUUGGACACAUGCACAUUUCUGCCCUCAUCAUGUGGAAAAACUGCCCCAUGUAGUUAAAGAAUCUUGUGAGCUAGCUCAGUUUAUGGGUAUGUCAGAUACCGCAGGGGUCAGUCAGUCCUGUGGUAGGUAUAAGAAGUGGUCAAAAGUAGAGCUGGUCAGUUCUUAUGGUCUGUACUGAUCAGUCCUGAAAUUAUCCUCAGUACUUGAUAAUGUUCUAGUGUACUGAUGACAGUAAUUUACACUUGUUUUCCUGGUCUGGUGUACUGGGGAAUGAUCAGUUCUAGAGAUUUGUCAGUACCUGGAACUGUGCUAAGGACUAGUUAGUACUGGGAUAUGUUAGUAACUUGAACUGGUCAUUCUUAUUGGUCAAUCAGCACUACAAAGUUUGUCAGUACUGAGACUUAGGUCCCUUAGACUAGAGAUUGAUUUGAGGAACAUGCUCAGAUCAGACAUGGGAGCUGGCCAGUCUGUAUAGCAGUUAUACCACACUUAGAGUUACUAUAGGUAUUCUGAUGUUAACAGGUACGACUACCUUUGAAAUAUUGACACAAAUAGUUGUACAAAGUCCUGAUCUGCCAAAAUGAAGUGGUUUUUGGAUUAUAAAUUGUCACUUUUAAAGAAUACCCAAUAUGAUCAUGUGAAGAUCCUUUGUCAACAUUUCAACUGUAAAUGUGUAAAAUGAUGAAUAUCCACAGUUUUUAGGAAAUUUGUUGUAUAUUGUCACUGCAUUUUUGGAACAUGCAUUAUCUCCCCUUGGAGGUCUGGCCUGCCCAUAUUCUUGAUUACCUCCCCUUCCAUGACUGUAAGAGGUGUGGCUUCCAUCUUGUAUCGGUCGACAAGGUAACCAUACGUGGAAAUCGUGCACAUCUCUUGUCUAUUGACAGCUUUAGAGCUCUGUGUUGUGUGGUUGCCAUAGUGACCCACCGGAUGUAAGGCACACUGGAGGAAGAUUGAUGAUCUGAGGUGAAAAUACUACAUUAUAUAUGUAGUUGUGUAGAUGGCGCUGUGUGUUCCAGGUAGAUGUUAUAUGUGUAUCAGAGAGCCACAUGUGGUUAGCUGAGUAUACCAUAGAUGUAUCAUUGUGCAUCCCAGUUGUGCUGACAAAUUAGACAAAUCACUUUAGAUUUCAUGUAAUAUUGCUAACAUUCAUCCUUGUAUAUUUUUCUCUCAUGCAUUCCAUUCAUUUUUGUUUUUCGAUUAUAAUGUAUUGUGCAUAUAAACCACCUACAUGCCAAAGGAUCAGACUUCCUUCUUUUCUCAGCUGUUAAAAAUCUUCAUUAUUAACCAACAGAUUACAUAAUUAUACAGUAAAACCUUAUGAGGGUUUUGGCAAUAUAUUGAAAGAGAUGUGAAUUUAAGGAAUUGUUUCUUUGAAGAAAGCAAAUUGGGACCUUGAAAGGAAACGAGAGUCAUUAUAUAGAGGUUUUACUGUAUAAAUACUGUAUCUAAAAAUUUUUUUUUGUAAAUUCCUUUAUAAGGAAUUGAGCUGUUAUUUCAGCAAGCUGGAAGUUCUGUCAAGGUGUUUGAGAAUUAUGUAUUAAUACCUACUGUGACAGAAAACUGUAUUCAAAAACAUAUUUUUCAUCUUAUGAAAUCCUCUGAUUUUGUCAGAACAUGUUAAAUAUCUGAACUGAAACAGAGAGAGUUCUGCCUUCAGUAUCAUGACAUAUACCAGACAAAUACUUGUCUGUGACACGAGAAAAAUGCAUUUACAUUAUCAUUGAUAAUUAAGUUUUCUUACUGCUUGAUUUUGUUACUGUUCUUUGUAUAUUUCUUUCUACAAUCUAUAUAAUUGUGUUCAUUGAGAUGCGUUCUUAAAAUGGACAGUUCAGUCCAUAUCUACACUGUACGUUGUAUUUGUUGAAAAGAGUUUUCAGCUGUUUCAUUUAAAAGAAAAACAGAAUCUGCUUGGAUAAAUGAAAUCCUGCUAUAGUCAUAUAUGAUUGAAGGACUUUAUUGCAGCUUAAUCCAACAGUUAGUAUGAGAUGGGAAGGUUAACGAAAAAAAGAGUACAAUCUCAAAAUUCAAUGGGGAAUGUGUUUCAUAGCAGAACAUGAAAAGAGUGCAAGUAAUAUCCACAAAAGUGCAAUAUAUCCGUGUUAUUUGUGACAAUAAAGUACCCCUGUCUGAUAUAGACAAUGUUGAAAUCCACUGUAAGUAGUCACUGUCUCGUCAGAGCAGUGUAUAAACUGCCAAGUUUGCCUCAAUUGUUCACUUUGAGGAAGACAUUUUGCUGCAAUAUCAAUAUGCGAUUUCAUGUGUGUUACUGUUGAAAUUAAUGCUUGAUUUUUCUUAUCUGGAUAGAUUUUCUUCUGAUGAGUAUUAAAGCAUAGGGAUUUAUUCAUCACAACUAAGAGCUGUUUCUCUCUCAAUUGUUUUAAAUGUCUGUGCUAGAUUUAUCUUGGUUGUGAAACAUGUACGGCAAAAGCAAAAUGUAUCUCGGUUGUCAGACAUGUAACAGACAGAUGUCUCUUGAUUGUGUUCCUUGUACACAUGGUGUUGAAAUCCACAUGGUAUUUAUAUAUAAUCCUGUUACUUGCCUUUGUUGUUAUAGCUCUAUAGAUUUAUUAGGUUGUGAAAUAUUUUGUUUUAUUUUACUUUUAAUAAUUUAACCUAUUCUUAUUGAAGAGACUAGUUAUUUACAAUCAUUCCAAAGUGUAGACCACGUCAGGCAACAUUUGUGUGCUGUGUAUGACCUGGACUACCUACCCUAGUGAACUCCAAAACAUUGUUUAAGAUGCGACUUAUUUUACAAACCUUUAAUUCAUUCCUUAUUAAAAUAUACAUUCUUUAGAAACUUGCAUUGUUUUAUGAUAUACCUUAUUAUACAAACCUUGAAUUCAUUCCCUAAACAGAAAAAGGUUCUGUGGAAACCUUGUGAGGUUAUACAUUAUUAUCAUGACCUUGACCCAUUACUCUUAGAGCUAAACUCUUUCACAAAACUUGUAUUACAUAAUUUCCAUUCCAAAUAUGUAACACAUCCAUUCCAAUUCACCCUACAAAAGGAAAUUUGUCUAAUCAAAAGACCCAGACAAAUACAGCUGAUUUUUGUUCAUUUUUUUUUUUUGUCAAAACUUCCCACAUAAUGUAAACUUUGGCUUUGAUUUUCCUUCUGAUCUUUAAGUCAUGUUAAAACAUUAAAUUCAUCAAGUGUACAUAGGCAUUUCUCCUGUUAGUAAAUAUAUAAUGGUCACAAUAUUGACUUAAAAUAUAACAUUUUUUCAAUCAACCUCCAUUAUGUAAUACUUGAUGUUAUUCAUAUGUAUUAUAACACUGAUUAAGUUUAAUGUUAUAGAAACCAAUGAGUGGUAUAAGUAUAGGGACCAUGAGAGGUCAGUGAGGUGUAAUAUUAUAAGUAUAGGGACCAUGAGUGGUCAGUGAGGUGUAAUGUUAUAAGUAUAGGGACCACUAGUGGUCAGUGAGGUGUAAUGUUAUAAGUAUAGGGACCAUGAGUGGUCGGUGAGGUGUAAUGUUAUAAGUAUAGGGACCAUGAGUGGUUAGCGAGGUGUAAUGUUAUAAGUAUAGGGACCAUGAGUGGUCAGUGAGGUGUAAUGUUAUAAGUAUAGUGACCACUAGUGGUUAGCGAGGUGUAAUGUUAUAAGUAUAGGGGUCAUGAGUGGUCAGUGAGGUGUAAUGUUAUAAGUAUAGGGACCGCCAUUGGUCAGUGAGGUGUAAUGUUAUAAGUAUAGGGACCAUGAGUGGUCAGUGAGGUGUAAUGUUAUAAAUAUAGGGACCAUGAGUGGUUAGCGAGGUGUUAUAUGUAACUACCAGUGCAUUGUAGAUCUUUGUUUCUGUUCUUUACAAAACAUUCCAAUCUUAGAUAUCAAUAUCUUAAACCUUUAAAAUAGAAUCUCGUAUCAUGUUUAUUGGGUAAAGUGUUAUUGAAAGCGAUUUUUAAACAUUCAUCGUGGUGUGAAGGAAAUAAAUGUACAUUGAAACCUGACUUUACCAACAUCUGACCUAACAGUCACCUGAUCUUACCGGUACCUGAUUUUAUCUACGGUAUUACCAUCUCCUGACUUUACUAACGCCAGACUUCAAUGGACGUCAUGUAAUAUCUGACAUGAUGAUCUUAAUUACAACACACCUUUAUAUCCGACUAAAUGAUUCAAUCCUAAUUAGAUGUUGGUAAACAUGUGUCACUGUAUAGAAUCUCUUUAUGUAUAUGUAAAGCAGGACCUGAGCUAAGAAAUAAUAUUCUUUUUUCAAGCGACAGUCCUUGCAACUAGAUUUAAUCUAUAAAUAUCAAUGUUCUCUUAUCAUGAUAUCCAGGUUUUUGGUCGUAUAUCACCAAUAUUUCCAACUGUUAGAGAAGUAGUUUGUAUUGACCAGGUGUUUGUAUCAUGUUCUGUUUUAAACAGCCAUCAUCAGUAAGUGUUAACACUUGUAGAGUAUUGUCAGAAUAUCUUUUUGUGGACUUGAGACGUCAGGUGGAUUCCCCAUGUGGUCGCCACCCCCUGUAUAAAGGUGUCCCUCAUGCACAGUCCGUUCCCUGUAAACUGUUGUAGUGGUAACAUAGAUCAUAGUCUCUCAUGCUCAUCUUAUGUGAUAGAUUUUUUUUGGUCUGGUUCCUAGUGUUACGACGAUUAUAACAUAUACUAAUUAAUAACAGUGGUGUAGAACCGACAAUAUUAUUACAAACACUAUUACAUAUGUAUCCAUAGACCCACUCUUAUAUUUUCUUUGUCUAGAACUGUCUCUAGUGACAGUCUGAUAAUAAAUCGUUGAAAGUCCA